GCUUACGGCCAUACCACCCUGAAUGCGCCCUAUCUCGUCUGAUCUCGGAAGCUAAGCAGGGUCAGGCCAGGUUAGUUACUUGGAUGGGUGACCGCCUGGGAAACCAGGUGUGUAAACU
RNAcentral lists this ribosomal RNA (118 nucleotides) under Larimichthys crocea (large yellow croaker). Lineage: Eukaryota; Metazoa; Chordata; Actinopteri; Sciaenidae. The record is from RNAcentral.